RNAcentral lists this ribosomal RNA (253 nucleotides) under uncultured bacterium. Its description in RNAcentral is "partial 16S ribosomal RNA". It matches the Rfam family "Bacterial small subunit ribosomal RNA", at positions 524 to 776 of the family's 1533-position model. The record is from RNAcentral.
UACGUAGGGGGCAAGCGUUGUCCGGAUUUAUUGGGCGUAAAGAGCGUGUAGGCGGCUGGGUAGGUCCGUUGUGAAAACUCGAGGCUCAACCUCGAGACGCCGAUGGAAACCCUCCAGCUAGAGUCCGGAAGAGGAGAGUGGAAUUCCUGGUGUAGCGGUGAAAUGCGCAGAUAUCAGGAAGAACACCCGUGGCUAAGGCGGCUCUCUAGUACGUGACUGACGCUGAGACGCGAAAGCGUGGGGAGCGAACAGG